RNAcentral lists this ribosomal RNA (252 nucleotides) under uncultured bacterium. RNAcentral describes it as "partial 16S ribosomal RNA". It matches the Rfam family "Bacterial small subunit ribosomal RNA", at positions 525 to 776 of the family's 1533-position model. The record is from RNAcentral.
ACAGAGGAUGCAAACGUUGCUCGGAAUUACUGGGCGUAAAGCGCGUGUAGGCGGCUUGGUAAGUCGGACGUGAAAUCCCGGGGCUCAACCCCGGAAGGGCGUUCGAUACUGCCGAACUUGGGUCCUGAAGAGGAGAGCGGAAUUCCCGGUGUAGAGGUGAAAUUCGUAGAUAUCGGGAGGAACACCAGUGGCGAAGGCGGCUCUCUGGGCAGGUACCGACGCUGAGACGCGAAAGCGUGGGAAGCAAACAGG